AGAGUUUGAUUAUGGCUCAGGAUGAACGCUAGCGAUAGGCUUAACACAUGCAAGUCGAGGGGCAGCAUAAUUGUAGCAAUACAAUGGUGGCGACCGGCGCACGGGUGAGUAACACGUAUGCAACCUACCCAUAACAGGGGGAUAGCCCGUUGAAAGACGGAUUAAUACCCCAUAAGACAGGGGCACCGCCUGGUGCUAUUUGUUAAAGAUUAAUCGGUUAUGGAUGGGCCUGCGUUCCAUUAGCUAGUUGGUAAGGUAACGGCUUACCAAGGCAACGAUGGAUAGGGGAACUGAGAGGUUUAUCCCCCACACUGGUACUGAGACACGGACCAGACUCCUACGGGAGGCAGCAGUGAGGAAUAUUGGUCAAUGGGCGAGAGCCUGAACCAGCCAAGUCGCGUGAAGGACGACGGUAUUAUGUAUUGUAAACUUCUUUUAUAAGGGAAUAAAGUUAGGGACGUGUCCUUAUUUGUAUGUACCUUAUGAAUAAGCAUCGGCUAACUCCGUGCCAGCAGCCGCGGUAAUACGGAGGAUGCGAGCGUUAUCCGGAUUUAUUGGGUUUAAAGGGUGCGUAGGCGGGUUGAUAAGUCAGCGGUGAAAUCUUGGAGCUUAACUCCGAAACUGCCGUUGAAACUGUUAACCUUGAGUGUGAACGAGGUAGGCGGAAUUCGUGGUGUAGCGGUGAAAUGCAUAGAUAUCACGAAGAACUCCGAUAGCGCAGGCAGCUUACCAGAUCACAACUGACGCUGAAGCACGAAAGUGUGGGUAUCAAACAGGAUUAGAUACCCUGGUAGUCCACACAGUAAACGAUGAAUACUCACUGUUUGCGAUAUACAGCAAGCGGUCAAGCG
This 851-nucleotide ribosomal RNA is filed under the name uncultured bacterium. RNAcentral's name for it is "bacterial SSU rRNA". It matches the Rfam family "Bacterial small subunit ribosomal RNA", at positions 8 to 853 of the family's 1533-position model. The record is from RNAcentral.